GCUCCCUGAUGUUAGCGGCGGACGGGUGAGUAACACGUGGGUAACCUGCCUGUAAGACUGGGAUAACUCCGGGAAACCGGGGCUAAUACCGGAUGGUUGUUUGAACCGCAUGGUUCAGACAUAAAAGGUGGCUUCGGCUACCACUUACAGAUGGACCCGCGGCGCAUUAGCUAGUUGGUGAGGUAACGGCUCACCAAGGCAACGAUGCGUAGCCGACCUGAGAGGGUGAUCGGCCACACUGGGACUGAGACACGGCCCAGACUCCUACGGGAGGCAGCAGUAGGGAAUCUUCCGCAAUGGACGAAAGUCUGACGGAGCAACGCCGCGUGAGUGAUGAAGGUUUUCGGAUCGUAAAGCUCUGUUGUUAGGGAAGAACAAGUGCCGUUCAAAUAGGGCGGCACCUUGACGGUACCUAACCAGAAAGCCACGGCUAACUACGUGCCAGCAGCCCGCGGUAAUACGUAGGUGGCAAGCGUUGUCCGGAAUUAUUGGGCGUAAAGGGCUCGCAGGCGGUUUCUUAAGUCUGAUGUGAAAGCCCCCGGCUCAACCGGGGGAGGGUCAUUGGAAACUGGGGAACUUGAGUGCAGAAGAGGAGAGUGGAAUUCCACGUGUAGCGGUGAAAUGCGUAGAGAUGUGGAGGAACACCAGUGGCGAAGGCGACUCUUCUGGUCUGUAACUGACGCUGAGGAGCGAAAGCGUGGGGAGCGAACAGGAUUAGAUACCCUGGUAGUCCACGCCGUAAACGAUGAGUGCUAAGUGUUAGGGGGGUUUCCGCCCCUUAGUGCUGCAGCUAACGCAUUAAGCACUCCGCCUGGGGAGUACCGGUCGCAAGACUGAAACUCAAAGGAAUUGACGGGGGCCCGCACAAGCGGUGGAGCAUGUGGUUUAAUUCGAAGCAACGCGAAGAACCUUACCAGGUCUUGACAUCCUCUGACAAUCCUAGAGAUAGGACGUCCCCUUCGGGGGCAGAGUGACAGGUGGUGCAUGGUUGUCGUCAGCUCGUGUCGUGAGAUGUUGGGUUAAGUCCCCGCAACGAGCGCAACCCUUGAUCUUAGUUGCCAGCAUUCAGUUGGGCACUCUAAGGUGACUGCCGGUGACAAACCGGAGGAAGGUGGGGAUGACGUCAAAUCAUCAUGCCCCUUAUGACCUGGGCUACACACGUGCUACAAUGGACAGAACAAAGGGCAGCGAAACCGCGAGGUUAAGCCAAUCCCACAAAUCUGUUCUCAGUUCGGAUCGCAGUCUGCAACUCGACUGCGUGAAGCUGGAAUCGCUAGUAAUCGCGGAUCAGCAUGCCCGCGGUGAAUACGUUCCCGGGCCUUGUACACACCGCCCGUCACACCACGAGAGUUUGUAACACCCGAAGUCGGUGAGGUAACCUUUUUGGAGCCAGCCGCCGAAGGUGGGACAGAUGAU
This 1416-nucleotide ribosomal RNA is filed under the name Bacillus sp. DF16. Its description in RNAcentral is "bacterial SSU rRNA". It matches the Rfam family "Bacterial small subunit ribosomal RNA". The record is from RNAcentral. Lineage: Bacteria; Bacillati; Bacillota; Bacilli; Caryophanales; Bacillaceae.